Molecule: ribosomal RNA, 253 nt
Filed under: uncultured bacterium
Lineage: Bacteria
Description: partial 16S ribosomal RNA
Rfam family: Bacterial small subunit ribosomal RNA
Source: RNAcentral
UACGUAGGGUGCAAGCGUUGUCCGGAAUUAUUGGGCGUAAAGAGCUCGUAGGCGGUUUGUCGCGUCUGCUGUGAAAACUCGGGGCUUAACCCCGGGCCUGCAGUGGGUACGGGCAGACUAGAGUGCGGUAGGGGAGACUGGAAUUCCUGGUGUAGCGGUGAAAUGCGCAGAUAUCAGGAGGAACACCGGUGGCGAAAGCGGCGUGCUGGACCUUUUCUGACGCUGAGGCACGAAAGCUAGGGGAGCAAACGGG